Molecule: long non-coding RNA, 3786 nt
Organism: Gasterosteus aculeatus aculeatus (three-spined stickleback)
Lineage: Eukaryota; Metazoa; Chordata; Actinopteri; Perciformes; Gasterosteidae
Source: Ensembl
CAUGGGAAUUCCUGAGGUCUGUUCGAUCCGUUAAUGUAUGCUGCGGUUGAAUGUCAUCAAUUAUGAACGAGGAACAUUAGAGAUUCACAGAGAGCUGGUGGAGACUCGCAGCUUGUGGCUGUUAGACUGUAGUACCUUGAAUGUGUGUAACAGGAUACGUGGGUUAUAUUGGGCAAUCGGAUACGCUACUUCUGGGCACGCUAUCUUUAAAAGUAGAGUAUUUCUCAAGUGAAACAAUAAUCAAAUUAGAGGAAGAUUAUUUUGGUUAAAUCAAGGACAGAACGAGUUCAGUCAAAUUACACAGAAAUGUAUACGACGUUUGUAAAUGAGGCAAGCUGCAGCGAAGCGAUCCUUCUGUAGGUGGAGUCUAUUUCCUCAGCCUUUAGGUGUCAGGCACCCGAGUCCUUACGUGUGAAUACUGCAGUAUCUUUGCGGCCUGGGCCUCUUCCCCUUUAAGGCAAAGAGUGUGUUGACCCCGACAGCGAGUUCAUACCAUAAGCAGACCCAUAUAGCUCCUCCGCCGGAGCCUCUGAUCACAGCCCCGCUGAGCUGCGGCCUCAGUUAUGUAAGAUUACAUAAUACCAGGUCUGUCUGGGUAAUAUUUCAUGACCUCCGGGCCCUACUGCGCUGGCAUUAACAAUGAAUCCAUGAGCGCUAGGCAGGUUUGACUACAUGAAAGUUAAAAGUUUAAAAACAAAUCGGAUCAAGUCGACGGCGCCGGGGGGGAUUUAUCUCUCCCGUCCUUCUCCUGUUGUACGUUUUAAGUUUGGUCCACCUCCGCAGCCCCUAAAUGUUGAAAUCAAAGAUCAUUCCUUUCAUUUACUUGAGAGCUAUAGUGGAGGUCGAGGAAAGGUCGAGGCCGGACGCCACUAAACAAAAGCGUUGCCCGCUUUGGUGCAGUGAUUCCGUCUGCCCGUAAAGCCCGUAUGAUUGUGUGGUAAUCAAAUCAUUGCAGACAAACUCAUUCAGGCACACGCUUAGACAGGGAAUAUUAUUAGAGAACUAGGCCAGUAACUGUUAUAUAACGGCUUUGGCUCUACAAUUAACAACUUCUUUAACCAUAACUGCAGAAGGUUUUUUUUUUUUUUUUAAUUACUGCGCUGUUUUAAUCAAAACGUUCCCGAUAACCAUGUCAGCGCAGAAUUUUAAUAACUUUGCUUUAUUCAGAAACAAAUGCUAGACAACAUAUAUUUACACCAGAGAAAAAAAGAAAAAGAAAUGCACAAAAAAAAUCAAAAGCUGUUUCAGUAACACACGCUAACAAAUUAAAUAAAACGUUGGACUUGGAACAAUAUCCAUUAAUCGUUGUGAUUCAGAUAAUAUAUGACAAGUAAUAGAGGAAAUGUGGGGAUAGAUAACAGAAGGUUAUGGAAAUGAAGAAACUUGUUGAAAAGAACUCCGCCGUGUUAGUAUCUCUCGUUAAUAGCGAACCACGUCUUGGACUGUCUUGUCUUUACAGACGAACCGACAGACAGGUUUGGGAUACCCGGAUGAACGGAUGGGAGAAGCAUGGGAGGAGUGAGAUACGCAAGCAGAGAAGAAAUCCUGCAGUAUUUUCGCCUCAUUCUAACCAAUCCCCUCUAAUUUUUGAUGCCCUUUAUGACAAAACAACACCGCACGAGCAGGAGCGACCGUCCGCCGCUGCAGUCCCACGCCAACACGCUAACACGGAUACACACAUGACAAAUACACAGGCGGAUGCACACACACAGAGAGGCGACACAGCCUGCCUCCUUCAUGUCGCUAGCCUCCCGUGCAUGGGCCCCUUAAAACGAGGUGCACCCGGCGAUCCCUUUGCAAAGCCCUCAUCCGAAUGUGAGCAGAGGUAAUCCCUCCAGGAGAGGCAAAGAGAACGGUGAUAACACAAGAUAAAGAGUGGCGGAAGGAGGGAAAAAGGGAAAGACGGAGAAAGAGGUCAAGCAAGAGAUGGGAAAGAUUAGCAGGGUGAGGGGAUUAGCAACAGAGGGAGGGGGGAAAAGUAAAAUAAAGUGUGGUAAAGGCGGGUGAGAGGAGAAUGGUUCAAAGGAUAUUACCAAAAAGGCACAUAUGAUGCAUGUGUGGGAAAUCAAAAAAGGGCAUGUGCAUGCAGUAUACUCACAGAGGAAUGAGAGGGUGAUCGGAGAAGUGAUGAAAAAUCAUGUCAAGGAGCCAGAAAAAAAAAUAUACGACCGCAAAGAAAUGAAGUCCAGCUUCUUCUCAUUCUAGAGUUUUGUUCUUUUCCCUCUUUUUCCCUGCGAUUUGGACGAUUCCUAUCCGGCCGUCCCUCCUUCCAAAGUUUAUCCCCUACUGGUCCCCCUUCUCUGCUCUUCCCCCUCCUGUUUUUCUUGCCAGCACCGGCACUCUUUCUCCCACCUCUCUCUCUCUCUCUCUCUUUCUCUCGCAGACCACGCUCUCCAUUCUCUCAUUCUUUGCCUCUGUCCCCCUUUCUCUGUCCAUUCAUCUGACACUCUUUUCCUUUUCUUCAGCCCUCAUUUCCUGCUUCAUAAAUGCUUUUUUUGAAAAAUAAAAAGAGGGUUUUCUCAACAGAGGUCAAGCUCUGACAAAAAAAUUACUGCAAAAGAAUAGAAAAAAAACGCUGACGGGAAAGGACAAGCAGUUUGUCAUUAGGCGGGGACAAUCCAUGGCCUGCGUUUUCUCAGGGGCGCCAUGCAGGGGAGGGGUGACGGCGCCUCCGAACACGAGGACGCGACCCAGGCAAAGAGUGGCGAGUAAAAGAAAAAAGGAGGAAUAAAACCGAGCUUGGAAGUGGAUAGAAAGCGCGCGUGAGGGGAAGGAGUGGGAAGGACUCCGGGGUGGGUGUGUAUGUGUGUGUGUGUGUGUGUGUGUGUGUGUGUGCAGAGGUGGGAGGAGAGAGAAAGUGAGACGACAGAGAGCGACUGAGAGAGAGAGGAAAAAGAGAGAGAGAGCGAGACUAGGGGGCUCAUGGAGAAAUAUCUAAGAGGGAGGGAUGGAGGAGGAGUGUGUCGACGGGGAGAGGAAAGAGGAGGGCGCACGAAUAGCAAUACAUUUUUUCUUUUUUUUUUCAUGCUCACGCUAUUCAAAUUUUGAGCUCUCAUUUUUUCACCCCUUUGUUCCAACGCUGAUACCUUCUCUGUCUGUGAGGGGGAAACAGCGAGGAAGAAAGAAGAAGAGAAAGAGCUACUGUGUGCUUUGUUUCCUGCCCCUGCCGCUCCCUUUCCUAGUUUCCUUUCUGCUCUGACUACCCCCUAUUCAGCCUAUUUUCUGCUCGUGCACUUGAACUCUAAAUUCUCUCUCUCUCUCUCUCUCUCAGGAAGGAGAGAGCGAGCGGCUAGGAAAAGGAGAGUGCGAGGGGGACAAAAAGGGGAGAGAGAUGUUGAGAGGGGGAGGGGAAGAAGCAUAGACAGGCUGAUAUAGAGAGCAUAGGGCUGCUCUGCGUGUACACACACACACACACACACACACACACACACACACACACACAGGCUUUAGAUGCAGCGUUUCACGCGCUGGUGGUAAUCCGCACAUCAUGUUAGCCUACAUACCAGAAAAUAAAUACAUGACUUUUCGGGGUCAAGGGAAGCAAUAAUUAAAAACGGUGGGAUUUUCUGUAUUUUCAGCAGUUUAUAGUGUCAGACUACACUUCCAACAAAACACUAGGAAAAAAAGCAACGCUUGGAAUACACACAAAUAAGGAGUAUUGCAAAUCGAUCAAUCCAACCAUUAUUUUCUUAAAUAAAUCAUUAGUCAAAAUAUUGAACCAAUUAAUGAAAGCAUCUUUUUUCAAGCUACCAGAUCACAUAUGCGAUGCAAUCAACCUGCUAAUAU